GUGCCAGCCGCCGCGGUAAUACCAGCCCCGCGAGUGGUCGGGACUCUUGCUGGGCCUAAAGCGCCCGUAGCCGGCCCGGUAAGUCCCUCCUUAAAGCCCCGGGCUCAACCCGGGGAGCGGGGGGAUACUGCCGGGCUAGGGGGCGGGAGAGGCCGGGGGUACCCCAGGGGUAGGGGCGAAAUCCGAUAAUCCCUGGGGGACCACCAGUGGCGAAGGCGCCCGGCUGGAACGCGCCCGACGGUGAGGGGCGAAAGCCGGGGGAGCGAACCGGAUUAGAUACCCGGGUAGUCCCGGCUGUAAACUAUGCGGGCCAGGUGUCGGGCGGGCGUUAGAGCCCGCCCGGUGCCGCAGGGAAGCCGUUAAGCCCGCCGCCUGGGGAGUACGGCCGCAAGGCUGAAACUUAAAGGAAUUGGCGGGGGGGCACACAAGGGGUGGAGCCUGCGGCUCAAUUGGAGUCAACGCCGGGAACCUCUACCGGGGGCGACAGCAGGAUGACGGCCAGGCUAACGACCUUGCCCGACGCGCUGAGGGGAGGUGCAUGGCCGUCGCCAGCUCGUGCUGUGAAGUGUCCUGUUAAGUCAGGCAACGAGCGAGACCCCCGCCCCUAGUUGCGACCCUGCGGGCGACCGCGGGGGCACACUAGGGGGACUGCCGCCGCUAAGGCGGAGGAAGGAGGGGGCCACGGCAGGUCAGCAUGCCCCUAAACCCCCGGGCUGCACGCGGGCUACAAUGGCGGGGACAGCGGGAUCCGACCCCGAAAGGGGGAGGCAAUCCCUGAAACCCCGCCGUAGUUGGGAUCGGGGGCUGAAACUCGCCCCCGUGAACCUGGAAUCCCUAGUAACCGCGCGUCACCAUCGCGCGGUGAAUACGUCCCUGCCCCUUGUACACACCGCCCGUC
RNAcentral lists this ribosomal RNA (898 nucleotides) under uncultured archaeon. RNAcentral describes it as "partial small subunit ribosomal RNA". It matches the Rfam family "Archaeal small subunit ribosomal RNA", at positions 455 to 1354 of the family's 1478-position model. The record is from RNAcentral.